GGGGUUAGAAGGAAAAGAGAGAUAGUCAAGUAUGUGGUCGAAGGUGAUACAUGUUCAGAAGUCAAGGCAAUGGGUUAGGAGUCCACUGGUUUGUUGGAAACUUUGGUAAUUCCCACGUGGAAAUGAAAAGACAUGUCUGGGGGUUUAAUAGUAGGAUUGUCUACUACCACCAAAGGAUAUGAUUCCAAUUGGGUUAGAGGGGACCGUCUUACACAUUUGGUUCCUGUGGAGUUCUACAUGUUACGAAUCGUAUCCCUAUGGGGGAUACAACAAGGAUCUCAGUUGUUCCCAGAUUCUAGAACAUUUUUGCAUGGAGCAAUGAGUACCAUUUUGGUCAAAAGUAGGUAAAAGAGUAAACUUGGAAUCAGAUUGGUUAUGGAAAGUACAAGUAAAG
RNAcentral lists this long non-coding RNA (394 nucleotides) under Setaria viridis. Its description in RNAcentral is "long non-coding RNA (SVIR_LNC000632)". The record is from RNAcentral. Lineage: Eukaryota; Viridiplantae; Streptophyta; Magnoliopsida; Poales; Poaceae.